GUUUUAAUAAUUUAAUAAAAAUAUUGGUCUUGUAAACCAAAUAUAAGGUACACCUUUUAAAACU
This 64-nucleotide transfer RNA is filed under the name Validiblatta australasiae (Australian cockroach). RNAcentral's name for it is "tRNA-Thr". It matches the Rfam family "tRNA". Rfam says of the family: Transfer RNA (tRNA) molecules are approximately 80 nucleotides in length. The record is from RNAcentral. Lineage: Eukaryota; Metazoa; Arthropoda; Insecta; Blattodea; Blattidae.